AACCAGUGCGACGCUGGCGCCCUAAGUAAAAACGGACAAAAAAAAUGAAAAAGCUACCACGGCGGGGACGAUCUUGGGAUUUAGGAAAGGAGCUUAACUUUAUCGGGCUCUGGCAGCAACAUCCGUCUUUGUUUAACGUGUCGUCAGGAUCCUAUCAUGACCGCAAGAGAAGGGACGCAGCGUGGAAGAACAUAGCAGCAUGCUUACGAUUACCAGUUGAACAAGUAACAACCCGGGCUGCUUCUCUGCGCACUCAGUACGGGAAACUACUGCGUGUUCAAGAGGACGAAGGAGGCUCACACCUGCUGACUCAGAGACAGAUAUGGAUCCUGAAGCACCUCAACUUUCUGAGACCUCACCUCAAAAGGAUGCAUAACUCCCAACAGGUUUCAGAUCCUCCAAUGAUGGCCUUUGAUUCUAGUGAAGACCCACAGAGUGUUAAAGCUGCCAGUUCUUCCUCAGCGUCUCCCAUACAUGAGCCUCAAAAACCACUUCCUCACACAUCCUCUCAUUCCCACAAUACCCGACAUAGCCAGUUAGCGAGCGCACCCAAGAUGGCUAACACUCCGAGGGAGGAGGGGCUGGACUUCGAGCAGGAACAAAUGAAGCUCUUCAAGCUCGUUACGUCUAAUAAUUCAAAUGGCAAAACUGACGACGAGGAUGAUAUCUUUGGUAAACAAGUGGCCAGUGAGAUGCGUCUCAUCAGAGAUCCCAUGGAUAAAUUACUUGCUCGACGAGCCAUCACCAAGGUUUUGUACGACGCUCAAGACCGAAGCAUGACUCAAUCGGUGACCAUCUCCCAGAGUGCAUCACACCAGAUGUACGACUUCCUAACGCUUAAGGAUGAACAUGGGGAAGUGAACAUUUAAGUGUUUACCUUCUACGAUCAUCCAGCCAAACAGAUUUCAGAUGUGUUUUAAGACACACAAACUGUAAUGAUAAAGAUGGUGCACACUCGGGCUGGGCGAUAUGGACCAAAAUUCAUAUCUCUUUUGUUUUUUUCAAAAUGGUGAUAUACGAUAAAAAAUUUAAUCAUUUUAACGCAAUAAAGUCUUACCAGAAAGACA
This 1067-nucleotide long non-coding RNA is filed under the name Gouania willdenowi (blunt-snouted clingfish). RNAcentral's name for it is "lncRNA (ENSGWIG00000019648.1)". The record is from RNAcentral. Lineage: Eukaryota; Metazoa; Chordata; Actinopteri; Blenniiformes; Gobiesocidae.